UUUCUUUACAAUAUUAAUAUGGAAGAAUUUUCAUAAUAUUAGGUCACCUAAUUAAAUUAAAGAUACCAAUAUCAAUGUGAAUUGCAAUGUAGAACGUCAUAUAAAACGCAUGUGUUUACUUGUUCAAUUUUACACUAAUUUAAGCAUCUCGUUGUGACACCUAAAAUCAAAGUGAAUAAAUGUUGGCUGAGGUCAAGUGACGAGCAUGUUUAUGUAUGAUGCUUUAUUUACAGUUGUAUGUUCCAAAAUAACAAUGUAUGGCCAAUGAACCUUUGAACGAAAAAUUACAUUGUUUAUAUAUGACUAAAAUUAUUCUUUUUUAUAUAUAAAUAAUAAAUGUUGAACCUUUGAUUUAUUUAUAUGUUACUUCUUUAUAUUUUAAAUUCCUUUGAUAAAUUCCAGACUUCGCCACUUAACAACAAUAAUAUCAAGUUAUGAAAGAUACGAGAGUAAAAUCGUAAUACAUAAUAAUCUUAUCUGGUAUUUUCAUAGUAUCUUACUCUCUAUUUUUACGACGGUAUUUCCCAUAAUAUCUUAUUCCCUAAUUUUACUAUUGUCUGUUAUUAUUUUGUUUAUCUUGUUAUUUUUGCGGUCUUUAUUUCCUUUCUAUUUUUGCUAAAAUAUAAUUUAAGAAGAGAAAAAAGGGGGGAAAUAGUGGUUUAGAAAAAAGAAAAUAGAUCAACCACAAAAUAAGGCAAGAAGAUAAACCUCAAAUCUCAAACUAAGAAAGAGUCAAAUACGGCAAGAAUUAUAAUAUUUUUGAUUAACCAAAAAAAGAAAAAAAAAGUUUCCUAAUUAAUCAAUGCAAAACAUUCAUCAACAUUUUCUAAUCAACUUAACCCCCCCUAUUGCAUCUCUUAAAUCAUUCCCCACUCUUUACAAUUUUUCAGAAUCUUGUGAAGGAUGGCUGAACAAGCACAACCAACUAUGUCUCAACAACCAGUUGACAUUGCACAAACUAGGAAGAAGAAGUUAAACGUACCACAUAUAUGUCUUGAAUCAAUGAAGUCACCACCAUUGCCGUCCUCCACGCCUUCUUCACCAGCAGCCUUAAGGAAAACAUCAAGUGUAAAGUACAGCUGCUUAUGCUCACCAACCACACAUGCAGGUUCUUUCAGGUGCAGAUAUCACAGGAACUCCGGCCUGACUCGCACCAGCAUGUCCGUUGGCUCUAAACUCUCCGAGCUUGCUGCUGGAAAGUGACUAACUAACUUUCUGAAUCACCACAGUAUUGUUCAGCUCAGGAGUAGCUUCAACAGUUAAGGCUCUUUUGAGAUAUGAAAGUAUUAAGCAUACAAUAAUUGUUCCUUUAAGCUAAGUCCUUUCAUAAAGUAUUUAUAUUUUUACACUUGCUCAUAAGUACUGUGUUAAUUGAUAAGUCGGAUUGUAAAUUUAUAAAGGAUGAUAGGUUGCUGUGUAUUUGUGUAUUGGUUGAUUCUUGGUUAAACGUUGCUCUCAUUCGUGGAGCCACGCUUGUCAUCCCUUUACUAGAAACUUAUACUAUGUAUAUACUAUAUGUUAAAAUC
This is a long non-coding RNA of Capsicum annuum, 1526 nucleotides long. RefSeq lists it as uncharacterized. The transcript is spliced from 2 exons. The record is from RefSeq and is a predicted model, not a curated record. Lineage: Eukaryota; Viridiplantae; Streptophyta; Magnoliopsida; Solanales; Solanaceae.